Non-coding RNA from Lolium perenne, 660 nucleotides. NCBI's taxonomy places the organism in Eukaryota, Viridiplantae, Streptophyta, Magnoliopsida, Poales, Poaceae. The record is from RefSeq and is a predicted model, not a curated record.
CUGCACCAGUGAAGAUUUUGCUAUUAUUGAAUCAAUCAUGUCUGCGCCUAAAGAUACUAAGUUCGUCGACAUUGGUGAUUCUUUAUUAUCUAAUGAUGACUUGAGAUGUCUUACACGUGAUGAUGCAUUCUUGCCAGGCGACGUAAGUCAACAACACAGAGACCACUACUUACACAUUAUCUAAAAUUGUCUUGAACUUAAAUAUCUUUUAUGUGUUCGAUUAUAGGUUAUAAAUGCAUAUAUUUAUUGUAUAAGCGCAUGUGAUCAUCUGCGGGAGAGACCGGGUGGAAAGGUAUAUCUCGAUACCACAUUCGCAGCUGCCGUACUGAAAAAAUCAGAACAUCACCGUGCCAUGAAACGGGUGCAUCUUUAUCUAAAGCAUGACAUGGUCUUAUUUCCUAUAAAUAUAAGUAAGACGCACUGGUAUUUACUGGUCGUAAAUGCAAAAAAGCGUGUGAUACAAAUAUUGGACUCCCUUGGUGAUUCAAUGGGGCGGAGUGACAUCAGUGUUAUGUUGCAGGGACUUGAGAAGCAUUUGAAAAUCGCAUCCCAAAUGAAAGAUUUUAACAAAGGUGAUAGGUGGAUGGAUCUCGAUGUCACAACAUGGCCAGUAGUAGAACAGUUUCAACAACGUAUGCAAACUGAUGGGUAUGUUGACCU